This 535-nucleotide ribosomal RNA is filed under the name uncultured archaeon. RNAcentral's name for it is "bacterial SSU rRNA". It matches the Rfam family "Archaeal small subunit ribosomal RNA", at positions 345 to 879 of the family's 1478-position model. The record is from RNAcentral.
AACCUUUACACUGCACGCCAGUGCGAUAAGGGAAUCCCAAGUGCGUAGGCAUAGAGCCUACGCUUUUGUACACCGUAGGGAGGUGUACGAAUAAGGGCUGGGCAAGACCGGUGCCAGCCGCCGCGGUAAUACCGGCAGCCCGAGUGAUGGCCGAUCUUAUUGGGCCUAAAGCGUCCGUAGCUGGCCGCACAAGUCCAUCGGAAAAUCCACCCGCCCAACGGGUGGGCGUCCGGUGGAAACUGUGUGGCUUGGGACCGGAAGGCGCGACGGGUACGUCCGGGGUAGGAGUGAAAUCCCGUAAUCCUGGACGGACCGCCGAUGGCGAAAGCACGUCGCGAGGACGGAUCCGACAGUGAGGGACGAAAGCCAGGGUCUCGAACCGGAUUAGAUACCCGGGUAGUCCUGGCCGUAAACGAUGUCCGCUAGGUGUGGCGCAGGCUACGAGCCUGCGCUGUGCCGUAGGGAAGCCGUGAAGCGGACCGCCUGGGAAGUACGUCUGCAAGGAUGAAACUUAAAGGAAUUGGCGGGGGAGCAC